This is a long non-coding RNA of Cyprinus carpio carpio, 1711 nucleotides long. NCBI's taxonomy places the organism in Eukaryota, Metazoa, Chordata, Actinopteri, Cypriniformes, Cyprinidae. The record is from Ensembl.
GUGGCAAUAAAAUAUCAGAAGUUACAAUGAUAGAAACAACUUUACUAAAUUAAAUACAAGAGUUCUACGGAAACUGCAGAUUCCUAUGAUGCAGUGUGAUUGUGACAUGCUUAGAAAUACAGUGGCCACAUGGGGGUGAUAGACAGCAAUUUAUUUUAGUUGAAUACCUGCAAAAUGGCAUAAACAAAUUUCUAAACAUUCAAAGUCAUUAAUCACAGUUUUAAACCAGUCAUAAGGAAACAUUAAACACAACCUAGAAUAUUUUUUAAAAGCUAAAGAAUGUUUUGACUAGUUGUGAUAAGUCUGUUUUAGGGUAGUGUAUUUAUUGAUGUUUUCCAUGAACAGCAAGUGAAUUGUAACAGUGCACUGAAGAAAUCACAGAACAUUUCUACAUAUGACAUAGUCAGUUAUAACACUCAUUCUAGGUCAAACAGACUGGUCCAAUCUAAAUCCAGGAUUUUUUUUUUUUUUUUUUUUUGUCUUUAAAAAUACACUAUAAAUACUUUUAAUGUAAUACUUUUACAACGUCUUUUCCAGCUUAAGUUACAUAAAUGGUCUCCAAAUAUUCCAGUCAAGAUGGUAAAAUUCCCUUGAUGUUUAAUAUUCAGUUUUACAGGUCAAGCUUAUCUUCACUGGCAACCCUGAGAUGCUGAGGUGACCUGCUCUCUGCACAACCUUGGGAAUAAACGUCUGUAUGCCUGAUGUUCAAAAUGUAGUAAAUGUACACCUGUCCCUCAUGUAAAUCUGGCAUCAACCAGGAACAUGACCAGAAACAUUCAUAAGACUAUAGUCAAUACAGCAAUGACAAGGUUGGUCAUUUUACAUCAGUUAUUAUUGACCAUAUCUUCUGAUGGCCCAGAAGUGGCAAGAGUCAUCAGUUUUUCAAUACACAUCUCUUGAUUUCGCAAAGCUUAUAUUAUGUAAAGAUGUUUGCACAAGAAAUUGUGUUGAUAUGGCUGCUGCUGCUCGUAUGUCAAAUGUGUGCUUGACACUUUAGCAGUAACUCUCAGUCAUCAAUAAGUGAAAGACAACCGAUGUAUAAGAAAUAUCCCACAGGAGGUUCUGCUACUCUAAGGCUCUUAAAGUCAUGCUUAAAUUGUUACAUUUAAAGGGAUGGUUAAACUAAAAAUGAAAACUAAAAAUAGCACACGCACAAAAAAAAAAGAAGAGUAAUAGAUGAUAUUUUGAAGUAAGUUGGUAACCAAACAGUCUUGGUAUCCAUUGACUUUCACUGUAUGGACAUAUAUAUAUUAUUGUUAAACGAUGACAGAAUUUUAAUUUUUGGGUGAACUAUCCCUUUCAGUAGUAUGCUUUAUAUGCUACAGCAAAUCAAAAUGAAUUACAUUUAGCAUGUGCCUCUUCUGAUCUCUGACAAUCUGAACGCUAACUAGCAUUACAGAUACACAUGCAUCAUAUUACCAGACAUACACAGAUGAGAGCAGAAUAAUUAGCACAGUAUUAGAAUAAUACUCUAAUGACUAUGGCAACAGGUAAGCACUUUCAGCACUAGGCUACACAUGAAGGCUUCAGAUGACAAACAUGCUUUCUCAAUUGCUUCAGUAAUCACUGGCAUCUAACAUUAAAGGGAUACUCCACCCCAAAAUGAAAAUUUUGUCAUUAAUCACUUACCCCCAUGUCGUUCCAAACCCAUAAAAGCUUUGUUCGUCUUCGAAACACAAUUUAAGAUAUUUUGGAUGAAAACCGGGAGGCC